This is a long non-coding RNA of Falco peregrinus (peregrine falcon), 2095 nucleotides long. RefSeq lists it as uncharacterized. The transcript has 4 exons. The record is from RefSeq and is a predicted model, not a curated record. Lineage: Eukaryota; Metazoa; Chordata; Aves; Falconiformes; Falconidae.
GCGGCGGAGGGCCGGCAGCCGUCUGGCCCGCGCAGCCCUGGCGCGAGGCAGCAGCGCCAGACUGCCCCGCGCGUUCCCGAGUGUUCCCGGCCGCCGCUGCGGGGAGCGGGGCGCGGGAGGGCGGCUGGGCACGGACACCCCUGGGGGACACCACACCGCAGCCUGUGGGGGACCCACGCCAUGCAAGGACACCCCAGUGCAACCUGUGGCUGACCCAUGCCAUGGCAAGGACAUCCAUGGAGGACACCCCACUGCAGCCUGUGGGUGACCCACGCUGGCACACCCUGACUGAGGGCCCACCGCCUGCAGGAACACACGCUGAGGCCAGGACACCCCGAGAGGUGCAGGACUGCUGAGGAACCACAGUAAGGUGCCCAGAGCAGCGGAAACACGUCAGGGGCAGUGGGAGGCACACGCCGGCUGCUUCCUGCGAGAGCGUUUGCACAGCUCCUCUGCAGCACCAUCACUGAGCUGGUCCAUGUCCCCCUUGCACCCAGCAGAGCACGAGUGGCACGGUGCAAGGAGGGAGCAGGGGAGAGCACAGCUCCACCUCCUCUGCUGAGCACCAGGGAUCAGCUGCACAGCAUCGCUCCUCACCUGCCUCAGGAGCACAAUGGGGGCUCUGGCCUCUGCUGCUGAAUGGCAGAGCAAGGGUGUCUCCAGUGACUUCUCUGUUCGGAAGCCGCCUUUGGAUGAGACGGGCUGAGAUCCUGGGAUCAGCGUGGAGGCCGUUUGAUUCAAAGCAACUUGGCCACUGAACACCUUGGUCCUACCCCAACCCCUCCAAGAACCCAACAGGCUGAAGCGCAUCUGAAACGUCACCUUGGAAAGCAAUGCUGCGUGUCGCGCCCUCGGUGUCCUGUUCCUCCCUCUGAGCAUCCAUUAACUUUGGCAGGUCCCACGAGACAGCCACCACCCCUGGAAUUCCACUACUGCUCUCAUGCUGACAUCUGGGUUGGUGCUGGGCAACCACUAUCGCCUGACUACGAGCACCAGCUAAUCCAGGAUGCCAUCGUAUUUCCAGAGUCCCCUGCACCUGGAGAAGCAUUUUUUCCAGAAGCCACUGGCAGUCACAGGUGUUCAGCCCAUCUCCACACAGCGCAGCCCCGAGCCCCAGGCUCAGGCUGUGUUUGUUUAAAAGCCCCGCAGAGGAUGAGCAAAGUCAUCUGUCCUAAUUCCCGACGGCGCAUUUUACCAGCGCAGGGUUUUCUUCACGAGAAUAUUAUUCCUCAAUAUUUCCUGUUGUUUUCACCCAGCUUGUUUAUGGCAAAUAGACCCUUGAGAUACAGUCCUUUUGUCCGGGAAAGCUUUAAUGAUCUCAGCGUCAUUGUGUUGGCAUCAGUUUAAUUCCAGCUGCUAUAAGCUGGCAAGCUGAUGAGAAGAGAUGUGUUUAUGGGAUCUCCGGCUAUUUUGCUGUGGUGUGCGGUACUGUGCUAACACAGACUUACAGGGCCUUGCAGGGCCAUUAAUUAAAGGCACUCUGGAAAGCUAUCACUAAUCACUUUGCAGGUAUCAGAGGGGUGAGCCUUGGGAAAAGUAACCCUGCCCUGCAGCGGGGUGUGUUUCUCUAAGGAUGCCACCAUUUCCAGGCUGGGAUUUGGAGCAUCUCCCUGUCAAAUCCCUGCUGGCACUGGAUUUUAUGGCAGCUUUCUCACCUCUGAGCUCUGGUGGCUUUGCCUGGCAGAUCAUCCUGCCUCACUGAGAGUGCAGCAUCAUUUUCCAUACCCCAGCUGUACAACCCAGUUGUCUCAGGCAAUGCCUGGAGCUUUAAUUGGGGCUGGAUGUGAGGAUGAGGAUGCUGGAAGGGAUUGCAUGCAGCUGUAUGGUUGCUUGCCGUCAUUUAGCUGGGAGUGCAUACCGUGGUGUGAAAGAGGGUAAACAAAACACAUCUUGGCCAAUUCUAACCAGUUUGUCCCUGUGAGCCGCACGUGCCAGACCUUGGCUGCUGCCAGGCUUCUCGGAAGGCUUGUCCAUGCAGGGACUCGCUGGAAAAUUAAUUUGAAUUAAGCAAAAGCCUGAAUUUCCCGUGGAUUUGCUAAACUGCAUUAAACCCCAAUGUGAAUUAUGUUAAAUGAAAUUAAAACUACAUUAAUUU